CGCCCCGGGGGGGACCCCAGAAGCCCGGGCCGCUCCUACUGGCCCGAGCCCGACGGGGUGCGGCGCCUCACGGGGCGGC
This 79-nucleotide transfer RNA is filed under the name Thermus thermophilus. RNAcentral's name for it is "tRNA-Arg". Lineage: Bacteria; Thermotogati; Deinococcota; Deinococci; Thermales; Thermaceae. The record is from RNAcentral.